This 71-nucleotide transfer RNA is filed under the name Candidatus Acetithermum autotrophicum. RNAcentral's name for it is "Candidatus Acetothermum autotrophicum tRNA-Gln". It matches the Rfam family "tRNA". Rfam says of the family: Transfer RNA (tRNA) molecules are approximately 80 nucleotides in length. Their secondary structure includes four short double-helical elements and three loops (D, anti-codon, and T loops). Further hydrogen bonds mediate the characteristic L-shaped molecular structure. tRNAs have two regions of fundamental functional importance: the anti-codon, which is responsible for specific mRNA codon recognition, and the 3' end, to which the tRNAs corresponding amino acid is attached (by aminoacyl-tRNA synthetases). tRNAs cope with the degeneracy of the genetic code in two manners: having more than one tRNA (with a specific anti-codon) for a particular amino acid; and 'wobble' base-pairing, i.e. permitting non-standard base-pairing at the 3rd anti-codon position. Lineage: Bacteria; Candidatus Bipolaricaulota. The record is from RNAcentral.
UGGGAGAUCGUCUAACGGUAGGACAGCAGGCUCUGGACCUGCUUGUGGGGGUUCGAAUCCUCCUCUCCCAG